Dromaius novaehollandiae (emu) is the source of this 2114-nucleotide long non-coding RNA. NCBI's taxonomy places the organism in Eukaryota, Metazoa, Chordata, Aves, Casuariiformes, Dromaiidae. The record is from Ensembl.
CCAGAUGCCGCCGCCGCGGGGGGGCGCGUAGAGCGCGCUGACGUCACGCGCCAGGGAGGCUCCGCCUACAGCCAUGGCGGCGGCAACGGAGAGCCGGGCGCUCCUCUCCGCCUGCGGCUGCUUUCCGCGUCCUGCCGCAGCAGUGAGUCACGCCGCUCCACCCCAAAGGUACUGCGGGGGGGGGGGGAGUCAGACGCGUCCGCUUCCCCUCGUCGCCGCCUCCCAGCAAGCCUUCCAGCGUGGCGGGGUCUGCGGUGACCCCGGCCAUUCCUGCAGCGCUUGCCAGAGCAGCCUUGGGACGGUUUGAGGCCUCCCCCUGCCCCCCUCGGGGGGAGGCUAUAGAAAUCUCAGACACGCCUCGGCUCCGGCAGCUUCUCCCGAACUUAUUCCCAGCCCCGUGCCGACCUCCGGCGCUGUAAAUGCAGCUGCACGCUGUUGUGGGCGCGCUGGGUGGCCGAGCUGGUCUCGUGCUGCCCUCGGACAGAGCCGAGCUGGCUCUGCGAACGCAGCGAUGCUGGUUGCUCCCUUCUCCGGUGCCACUGCCGCUUUUCUCCUGAUAACAGCCGGGUUUUUUCCUCUCCAGUUCGCAGCCUCCGUCUCUGCUGGCCGCCCAGAAGGACGUACAAAGCCGCUGGAAGCGGGCAGGUGCGUGAAACAGGCCUGUCCCGAGAGGCUUUUCUUCUCCGUCCCGCCGUUGGCCUGUUGAACACGGCCGCAGAGGGCGAGCGGCGGGGCUGAAAUCCCGCCGGAGGGCCGGGACAUGGUGGCGGGCGGCCUCCGUUCUUUGCCGCAAGCCUUCCAGCGUGGCGGGGCCUGCGGUGACCCCGGCCAUUCCUGCAGCGCUUGCCAGAGCAGCCCUGGGACGGUUUGAGGCCUCCCUCUGCCCCCCUCGGGGGGAGGCUAUAGAAAUCUCGGACACGCGCCGCGUGCCGGCCCCGCGCGUCAGGCCGGGUCGGCGCAGGGUGAGCAGGGCUGUGGGGCGAGACGGGGCGGGGGAAAGAGGAAGAGGAGCCAGGUGUGGGGAGAGGAAGCACGGGGCUGUGGGUAAACCUCGCGAGUGAGGUCUGCGCGCGGACAAGCGUCUCCUUCCUGCCCUGCAGAGCCAAGAGGAUGAGAGCGGAGUUUCCCUCUGGAUCUCGGCUGGGAUGGCAUCCCGCAGGCGGGAGGCGCCUCUCCUCCGCCUGGAAGAAGAGCGUGAGCGGAGGAGGAGGAGGAGGAGGUGAGCGAGGAUCAGCUCUUCCCACCGGAGCAGGCCCUGCCGCGGUCUCCGCACGUGGCUGCGGAGUUCUGCCACGGCCCUGAUGGGUUUCCCACUGGGCUUCGGAUCUCGGUCUCUGCGCCUCAAGAUGGAGGAAGGAGGAGCCGGAGUGUUGCUCCUCGCUUCGGAGGUAAGGCUGUUUUUUGAAGAAACGGGAAAUAAUUUGCCGUUUGAAAACAAAACCCUUCGCAACCGGGGACGUUUGUGACUGCAAAGGUUGCCACACUUCCCAUUGCGCACGGCGCGGUGGCUGUGACAACGGCCGCGCGGUGCUCGUCGGAGCCCGGGAACGUGGGUCUGGCCCUGGCUCGUGUUUUUGUGCCUCGGCUUUGCCGCGUGGGGAGGGGGGGGCCCUGCGCGCUCCUCACGGCUGGCCUGUUCUCUCCUAGCUCUUCGGCCUCGGUGAUGCCGGUGCAGCGUCGGAGGAGGCCUGACCCUGCCCUGGAGGAGCAGCACACGCUGCGGAAGGGCAGCAGGAAGCGACUCCCGGCCUUGGCGGCCUCCCGGCACCAGGGACAGGCGCUCCCAACACGGAGACGCCCUCCGACCGUCCCGCUGAGGGCUGGUGCCCCCGUUCCGCCAGGAAAAGCCCCCGUGAGCAAAGGGGAACCCUGGAGCUUCCCGUGACCGGUUUCCAGCCCAGCCCACCAGUGACAUUUUGGGAGCGAGGGGGCUCGGGGGGGUUCCCUGGAUCCUCCAAGUACGGUUGCUCUUCACGCAGUGUGACAGCUCCGCCGAGCACGGAGCACAGAGAGGGGUAACAGAUGUAUCGCCGUUUUGGGGUACAGUCAGACAUUUAAUGCUCUACAGCCGUGGCAGAUGAAUAAAUAUGGAUUCCUGGUGUCUCCUUGCGGUC